GAUGAACGCUGGCUACAGGCUUAACACAUGCAAGUCGUGGGGAAACGGCAUUAUGUGCUUGCACAUUCUGGACGUCGACCGGCGCACGGGUGAGUAUCGCGUAUCCAACCUGCCCCUUACUUGGGGAUACCCCGUUGAAAGACGGCCUAAUACCCGAUGUGUUUCAUUGACGGCAUCCGAUAUGAAACAAAGGUUUUUCCGGUAAGGGAUGGGGAUGCGUCUGAUUAGCUAGUUGGCGGGGCAACGGCCCACCAAGGCGACGAUCAGUAGGGGUUCUGAGAGGAAGGUCCCCCACAUUGGAACUGAGACACGGUCCAAACUCCUACGGGAGGCAGCAGCGAGGAAUAUUGGUCAAUGGACGCAAGUCUGAACCAGCCAAGUAGCGUGCAGGAUGACGGCCCUAUGGGUUGUAAACUGCUUUUAUGUGGGAAUAAAUUGGCGCACGUGUGCGCCAUUGCAUGUACCUCAUGAAUAAGGACCGGCUAAUUCCGUGCCAGCAGCCGCGGUAAUACGGAAGGUCCGGGCGUUAUCCGGAUUUAUUGGGUUUAAAGGGAGUGUAGGCGGUCUGUUAAGCGUGUUGUGAAAUUUAGGUGCUCAACAUUUAACUUGCAGCGCGAACUGUCAGACUUGAGUACACGCAGCGCAGGCGGAAUUCAUGGUGUAGCGGUGAAAUGCUUAGAUAUCAUGAGGAACUCCGAUCGCGAAGGCAGCCUGCGGGAGUGUUACUGACGCUUAAGCUCGAAGUGCGGGUAUCGAAAGG
This 760-nucleotide ribosomal RNA is filed under the name Prevotella nigrescens. RNAcentral describes it as "bacterial SSU rRNA". It matches the Rfam family "Bacterial small subunit ribosomal RNA", at positions 28 to 775 of the family's 1533-position model. The record is from RNAcentral. Lineage: Bacteria; Pseudomonadati; Bacteroidota; Bacteroidia; Bacteroidales; Prevotellaceae.